CAGGACGGACGCUGGCGGCGUGCCUAAUACAUGCAAGUCGAACGGUCUUUCUAUGGAAGCUUGCUUCCACUGAGAAGAUAGUGGCGAACGGGUGAGUAACACGUGGGUAACCUGCCCAUAAGAGGGGGAUAACAUCCGGAAACGGGUGCUAAUACCGCAUAGUUUUCUUGGUCGCAUGAUCGGGAAAGGAAAGACGGCCUUUGUGCUGUCGCUUAUGGAUGGACCCGCGGCGUAUUAGUUAGUUGGUGAGGUAACGGCUCACCAAGACGAUGAUACGUAGCCGACCUGAGAGGGUGAUCGGCCACAUUGGGACUGAGACACGGCCCAAACUCCUACGGGAGGCAGCAGUAGGGAAUCUUCCGCAAUGGACGAAAGUCUGACGGAGCAACGCCGCGUGAGUGAAAGAAGGUUUUCGGAUCGUAAAACUCUGUUGUCAGAGAAGAACAAGUUGGAGAGUAACUGCUCCAGCCUUGACGGUAUCUGACCAGAAAGCCACGGCUAACUACGUGCCAGCCGCCGC
RNAcentral lists this ribosomal RNA (520 nucleotides) under uncultured bacterium. Its description in RNAcentral is "bacterial SSU rRNA". It matches the Rfam family "Bacterial small subunit ribosomal RNA", at positions 25 to 518 of the family's 1533-position model. The record is from RNAcentral.